GAUGAACGCUGGCGGCGUGCCUAAUACAUGCAAGUCGAGCGGCAGGACGAGGGGUUUGCUCUGCUGACGUUAGCGGCGGGCGGGUGAGUAACACGUGGAUAACCCCCCUAGAAGACUGGGAUCACUUCGGGACAGCGGAGAUACUACAGACUAAUAACUUGAAAAACAUGGUUCAAUUGUGAACGCCGGCUUUGCUGUUACUUGUAGAUGGAUCCGCGCUGCAUUAGCUAGUUGGUCAGGUAACGGCUUACCAAGGCGACGAUGCGUAGCCGGCCUGAGAGGGUGACCGGCCACACUGGAACUGAGACACGGCCCAGACUCCUACGGGAGGCAGCAGUGGGGAAUUUUCGGCAAUGGGCGAAAGCCUGAUCGAGCAAUGCCGCGUGUGUGAUGAAGGCCUUCGGGUCGUAAAGCACUUUUAUUAGGGAAGAACACAUGUGUACUAAACCAGUCACGUCUUGACGGUACCGAAUCAGAAAGCCACGGCUAACUACGUG
RNAcentral lists this ribosomal RNA (497 nucleotides) under uncultured bacterium. RNAcentral's name for it is "partial 16S ribosomal RNA". It matches the Rfam family "Bacterial small subunit ribosomal RNA", at positions 28 to 507 of the family's 1533-position model. The record is from RNAcentral.